Molecule: unclassified non-coding RNA, 664 nt
Filed under: Hevea brasiliensis (rubber tree)
Lineage: Eukaryota; Viridiplantae; Streptophyta; Magnoliopsida; Malpighiales; Euphorbiaceae
Source: RNAcentral
AAAAAAUCAAGCCCACUUCCAUUUAUAGCUGAAAUUAAGAAGUUUAAUGGGUUUCAUUAUUUAAUUUCGCUCAAUUAAAUAUUUCCUAAGUUCAUUCAAAACUUUGAAAAAUAUUAUAUUAAGCCCAAUUAAAUAAUACAGGCUUAUGACUUAAAAAAAAAAAAAACUUUUUAUUUUCAAAACAAUACAAUUAAUUUCCUAUAACGCGUAAAAUUAUUUUAUUUUAUUAAUUUAGUCUCCAAAAUAUUUCAGGGUCCUUACCAUCCAAUGAUAUUUUCAUCUUAAGGCUCCUCACUGUCUCAACAUGUUUAAAACAGAGGGUAAAAACUAGAUGUCUACGGUAACAUUAGUCCUUGAGUCCUCAACUCGCUUAUCCUCAAGCACAAAAUUUGGACGUUGUGUGGAUGCUUGUAAUUGCAUGUGAGGAAAUUCAAGGUGAUUGCAUCUUAAGAUUAGGUUCAAACUCUAAUGGCUCUUCCUAGGUAAUGGCUUCAAGGAAGAAAAGUUUCUUGCACCGAUGGCCGCGAACAAAAGAUUCAUGGAAUUUGAUUAAACUCCUCUCUUCCAUCUCAACUUGGCUCAACCUUUUAAUAAUCAUGCUUCCAAUUGCUAUUUUGGGUGGAGGACAACUAGAAUCACCCCACUGCAAGUGGAUCAACGUAGA